RNAcentral lists this ribosomal RNA (391 nucleotides) under uncultured Glomus. Its description in RNAcentral is "SSU rRNA". It matches the Rfam family "Eukaryotic small subunit ribosomal RNA", at positions 569 to 965 of the family's 1831-position model. The record is from RNAcentral. Lineage: Eukaryota; Fungi; Glomeromycota; Glomeromycetes; Glomerales; Glomeraceae.
AGCAGCCGCGGUAAUUCCAGCUCCAAUAGCGUAUAUUAAAGUUGUUGCAGUUAAAAAGCUCGUAGUUGAAUUUCGGGAUCAAGGAAUCGGUCAUGCCUUGGUAUGUACUGGUUUUAUUGGUUCUCACCUUCUAAAGAACCAUAAUGUCAUUUAUUUGAUGUUAUGGGGAAUUAGGACUGUUACUUUGAAAAAAUUAGAGUGUUUAAAGCAAGCUAACGCUUGAAUACAUUAGCAUGGAAUAAUGAAAUAGGACGUUCGAUCCUAUUUUGUUGGUUUCUAGGAUUGACGUAAUGAUUAAUAGGGAUAGUUGGGGGCAUUAGUAUUCAAUUGUCAGAGGUGAAAUUCUUGGAUUUAUUGAAGACUAACUACUGCGAAAGCAUUUGCCAAGGAU